RNAcentral lists this ribosomal RNA (433 nucleotides) under uncultured microorganism. Its description in RNAcentral is "bacterial SSU rRNA". It matches the Rfam family "Bacterial small subunit ribosomal RNA", at positions 346 to 795 of the family's 1533-position model. The record is from RNAcentral.
AGGCAGCAGCAAGGAAUUUUGUGCAAUGGGCGAAAGCCUGACACAGCGACACUGCGUGGGGGAUGAAGGCCUUCGGGUUGUAAACCCCUUUUCUCAGGGAAGAAUAAUGACGGUACCUGAGGAAUAAGUCACGGCUAACUACGUGCCAGCAGCCGCGGUAAUACGUAGGUGGCGAGCGUUAUCCGGAUUUACUGGGCGUAAAGAGGGCGUAGGUGGCUUUUCAAGUCGGAUGUUAAAUCUCCCGGCUCAACUGGGAGGGAUCGUUCGAUACUGUGAGGCUGGAGUGCAGUAAGCGGAGGUGGAAUUCCCGGUGUAGUGGUGAAAUGCGUAGAUAUCGGGAGGAACACCAGUGGCGAAGGCGGCCUCCGGGGCUGUUACUGACACUGAAGCCCGAAGGCGUGGGGAGCAAACAGGAUUAGAUACCCUGGUAGUC